RNAcentral lists this ribosomal RNA (336 nucleotides) under Triticum aestivum (bread wheat). RNAcentral's name for it is "partial small subunit ribosomal RNA". Lineage: Eukaryota; Viridiplantae; Streptophyta; Magnoliopsida; Poales; Poaceae. The record is from RNAcentral.
AUGUACCACCAGCAGUUUGAGAUACUUGAUGAGGCAGAAGUCACAUGGAACCCGUGGAUUCAGGACCAGCUAAAAAUGGUCUUUGAUGCUCGACACUUCACACCAGGCAUGUUGACCGAUAGUGCAUUCUGGCUGACUCGCUGCAACUUAUUGUUCCUGUGGUGUGUUGAACCUUACAACCCAGAGCGUGUAAUGAGACAGUUCGGUCUCUAUCAAAAAAUUCCACCACCUUUUCCCAGACGUAUCGACGAGGAAACACAUAAGCUAAAAAAUAUGGGCAGUGGUUGGAGUUUAUACGAUUGGAGGGAAGAAAAGAGUGAAUGGGUACACAAGUGA